CUUCUCACACACCUCACUAACA
This 22-nucleotide microRNA is filed under the name Caenorhabditis briggsae. RNAcentral's name for it is "Cbr-Mir-253_5p* (star (passenger))". Lineage: Eukaryota; Metazoa; Nematoda; Chromadorea; Rhabditida; Rhabditidae. The record is from RNAcentral.